Molecule: long non-coding RNA, 1042 nt
Organism: Pygocentrus nattereri (red-bellied piranha)
Lineage: Eukaryota; Metazoa; Chordata; Actinopteri; Characiformes; Serrasalmidae
Source: Ensembl
GUGUUACCCUUUAAAUCACCACCUCAUUUACUGCUGGUCAAACCUCUGGGUGAAGCACAGCUGUAUCAGACGCAGUGAUGGUGAAGACGGCGGCUGCUGUACUGUCGGCACUGCUGCUGUGUGUGGGGGGCGCACUAGCGCAGGACUUCAUGUCGCCGAACAUGAACAUUAUGGAAGAACUGGGGAAACUGAAGAACAUGGAAGAACGACUGAGAACUGUGGAAGAACAACUGAGAACAAUGGAGGGGAAAAUGCAGAACCAGAACACAUUAGUAGAGGAGCUGAAGAAGGAGAAUGGAGCUCUGAAGACGACGGUGGAAACGAUGCAGGCUACACUGGAAUCACUGCAGAGCAGUAAACCAGGAUCUUCUGACGUUCCCAGCACGGCAGCAAUUUUCCGCGUCAGGCAUUGUGGAGAUUUACCCAUUAUUGAACACGGAGAUGUUACGAAGGCUCCAGAUGGGCUGGCAUUAACAGUGAGGUGCGCUUAUCUUUACAAACUUGACGGACCAGCAGAAGUAAAGUGUGUUGACAGGAAAUGGACACAGCUGCCUGCUUGUAAAGCUCCAUGUAAACUGGAUCAGUCAAAGUUUUAUUUUUCUCAAAGAGAGUACAUGCUGCACGGAGAAGAGGAAGGGCUUUUUUGUACUGCCUUUUCCAGAGUACAGGUCAAAUGUGAGAACGGAAAAGCGCUCUAUAGAGGAUGUGGUGAUAAAGACUGGUGAGAUGUGUGUGAACGUCUUCCUGCUGCAGCUUUUACUGAAACACACAAAACUGCAGAGCGACUGGAACGACCUGUAACUGCUGUACCUUUAAGCGUUACUGUAACGUUUCUCAGAACGUCUGAUUAAAAAUAGAUCCUGAAUAAACAACUGUGGACAACUGUGGUUCUUUCUUCUCAUCAUAGCAUGUUUCCUGUGUGAUCUUUAAUGGUUCUGAUGUUUUACACUUGCAGUGGAAGAAUCAUAUUUAUUAUUAUUAUAAUGUCUGACGGAUCAAAAUGGUUACGGUAGGAUAUUUUGGCAAUGCAGCACAAUUAGUC